UACGAGGGGUGCAAGCGUUGCUCGGAAUUAUUGGGCGUAAAGGGUAGGUAGGUGGUCUCAUUUGUCAGGGGUGAAAGCCUUGGGCUUAACUCAAGAAGUGCCCCUGAAACGGUGAGACUAGAGUGCUGGAGAGGGUCGUGGAAUUCCCGGUGUAGCGGUGAAAUGCGUAGAGAUCGGGAGGAACACCAGAGGCGAAGGCGGCGACCUGGACAGCUACUGACACUCAACUACGAAAGCGUGGGGAGCAAACAGG
This 253-nucleotide ribosomal RNA is filed under the name uncultured bacterium. RNAcentral's name for it is "partial 16S ribosomal RNA". It matches the Rfam family "Bacterial small subunit ribosomal RNA", at positions 524 to 776 of the family's 1533-position model. The record is from RNAcentral.